Molecule: long non-coding RNA, 1887 nt
Organism: Benincasa hispida (wax gourd)
Lineage: Eukaryota; Viridiplantae; Streptophyta; Magnoliopsida; Cucurbitales; Cucurbitaceae
Source: RefSeq, a predicted model, not a curated record
CAGCUAUGAUCCGUUUCCUUUGCUUGUCACCAUCAAAGAUUUACUCAGUCCCACUGCAGCCCAACCUUUUCCAACCAUCUCCGCCAGCACCCUAAAUUUGUCUCAAUAUGAAUAAAUUCGAAGCCUUCCCUGCCAAUCCCUUGCGCCGCCUAGCUUAGAUCCACCCACAAGCGUCCGCCGACUCUGUUUGUUGAAGUCCUCUCUAAGAUUGCUGCUUGUUGUCGUCAGAUCCAAAAAUCUUGCCCACAAUUCAAAUUUGGUUCAUGCCCUCUCUGCCUAAGAUAUCUGUUUUUCAUCGUGGGUUUUGCAGCAAUUUCUCAAACAGAAAAAAAAAAGAAAAAAACUAGUUCAUGUUAUUCAAAUUCAUCCAAUUCAUCUGAAUGGAUGGUUCACAUCUUCACUCAGUGGCGUCAUUGUGGUGGUGGUGAUGAAAAAAAAGGGAGAACUUUCAUUAGCCAUGAAAACAAAGAAGAAAAAAUGAGGAGGGUACACGAAGAAGAAGAUAUAUGAGAGAAGAAGAAGGAAAGAAUUAAAAAUUGUAUUUUUUUUAAAAGAUCGAAAAAAGACUCUUGGUUUCUGACCUAGGGUUGUGGACGAGCGGCGGUCAAAUUCUCCUGAGGCGUCGUCUUCUCCCGAGGGCAGUCGGUAGCUAUUUUGGUGGGGUCGUUCAUCGUCUUCAUCUACACGUUUGUUGUUUGUUGAUGUCGUCUUCAUUCCGACGGUAAGAAGGUUCUUCGUUCGUUCCGCUGCAGGUACGUUCGACCGGUUACGGUAGCAGGUAGCAGGUUCAUGGUAAGAAGGUAGCAUAUUUACAGUAGUUUUUCAUCAUUAUGGUUGUUAGCAGACGGUGAGUUUAAUCUAGAUAGUGAGGGUUACGUUAUGGUUUUUAGUAGCAAAGGACGGUGUGAGUUUAAAUCUGUGGAUGGUGAGGUUAGAUGGUGCGUAAGCGGUCACCUUUAAGAUUGAAGGAGAAGAAUGGAGGUCGAGUUGCUUGGCAUCCCUUUCGUCUGCUUAGACCGGAGAUCGAAUCGGGUUUGGGUGCUCAUUGAUAACUGACAGAUAUGCCAGUUAUUAUAAGCCUUUUAUUUAGAAUUAUGAGGGCUAAUAAGUAGAAAAUGCAGUGAUAAUAUUUAGAAUAUGCGAAAAUUGAGUUUUGCGUCGAUUAGCACCUAAAUCCUCACUAACCUCAAUAUUAUGCAUUACUCCAUGCCAAAGUGUCUAUUUUUGUAGCUAUCGUAGGAAUUAAACACAUGUGUUGGAAAUAAGCAAUCACAGACAAACGCAUGCGCUGAAGCUAGGCGACCGCAAAGACAAAUGCAUACAUUGAAAACUGAGCUAUCGCAUAGACGAAUGUAUGCGGUGAUCGAAUGCGUCCAUCGCGUGGAAGUUACGGUGAUCGAAUGCACCCAUCGCAUGGAAGUUACGGUGAUCAAUUGGAAAUUGCGACCACGGAGUGACAACCAUAAUAGAAGGACGACCGCAAGAUGGGUAGAACACAUUGAUACUUCAGCUGAAUCAAGCUCAGACGCAUACCUUAGAAGUAUCAAUAAGAUAAGAUGAUGUGACAUUGCCCAUACCGCGACAAAGGCAGCAGUGAGACAUAAUGCAAUCAUGAUAGCUAUCGGCGUUUAAACCCUACAAAUAGCCCCUUCGACCUUUAUUUCAAAGUAUCCGAACUUCUGCCUCCAGGUAGAGGUUUGCGAUCACAGAUGAGAGCUUGAGCAAGAUUUUCAGUGAGAAUUCUUCACCUCCACAAACCAUACCAAGUGACGACCGAAGCUUUCGUUGGAGAUAGAGCUCGAGAGAGACAUCUCCACCAUUCAUCCAUGGCACCAUCGGCAACCUUGGCACAGAGCCCUUCAUUUCUCUUAUACCCUCUGUAUUGUA